AACGUAGGAGACAAACGUUAUCCGGAGUUACUGGGCGUAAAGGGCGCGUAGGCGGCUUAUCAAGUCAGGCGUGAAAUUCCCGGGCUCAACCUGGGGGCUGCGCUUGAUACUGAUUGGCUUGAAUGCGGGAGAGGAUAGUGGAAUUCCCAGUGUAGAGGUGAAAUUCGUAGAUAUUGGGAAGAACACCGGUGGCGAAGGCGGCUAUCUGGCCCGUAAUUGACGCUGAGGCGCGAAAGCGUGGGGAGCAAACAGG
Molecule: ribosomal RNA, 253 nt
Filed under: uncultured bacterium
Lineage: Bacteria
Description: partial 16S ribosomal RNA
Rfam family: Bacterial small subunit ribosomal RNA
Source: RNAcentral